CCAGAGGAAUUCAGAUGUUAGGAGUUAUUUCUAUAGCUGUAUAUUUUCUUCUGGGAACAGCGCAAGGUGAAGAAACAUUGUUACGCAAGAUGUUAAGUUUGGUAUUUCUGAGAGGCUCCUAAAAGGAGCCUUGUAUUUGUAUUAAGAGUGAGGCCUGAUGGUUUGUAGAGUAUAACUGACAGUUGUAUGGACUGCCAUUUUAACCUGGUUUACUGUUUCCUUUGGCGUUGUUCAGUAUGUCAAGCAGGAAUAGAAGAAUGGUUAAACUCUGCAGUAACAUGAACUCGGCCUAGACUCUUUCUAAUGGUAGGUUGUUCAUUAGAUUCAAUAUUUUCUUAGGUCAAGAAGAGAGAGAACAUGUUAUUUCUGUUUUAGGUUGUCUUUUUUUUGCUAUUAUUUAUAUCUCCAUAACCUUGCUUAUUUGUAUCUGCUUGAUGCAUCAAAUUCUCAUGCAAAAUUCCCCACUGUGGCUAUGAUUUUUAUAAUGAUUACACCUGUCUUUGUCAGAGCUUUGCUUUAUAUAUUUUGCUGCUGUAGUUUUUGGUGUACAGGAAUUCACUAAUUAUACUUGAAGAUGUCACAAUUUGCCUCUUUUCCCUGCUUAACAGUCUUGAUCUUGAAUUCUGCUUAUCUGAUUGUGAUUCUGCCAUUUCUGCUUUCUGUUUGCUUACAUUUGCCUGGUGUAAUUUUCCACAUCCUUUAUUUUCAAACUUUCUUUAUCAUUCUGUUUUAGGCGUGUUUCUUGCCUAUGACAUUGGGCAAGGUAUAUCUGUUAGGAUAAUUUGGGUUGCAAAUAAUGUGCACUGGUUUCCAAAAAUAGAGGAGGAUGUAUUUGCUCUUAUAAUGUUGCAGGAUAGGUUUUGUUUUCAAGCAUGGUUUGUUUCAGUUUUGAUGCUUGAUUUCUCUCAGUUCACUCAGUUCUGUGUUCCUUUGUGUGUUAGACUAUUUUCUCUCCUGGGAGCAAAAUGGCCACAGAGGCCCAGGCCUCCCAUGUGUUUAUACCUCAAAGUCCAGAAAAUGAGAAAACUUCUCUUCUGAAAAUCUUGAAACUCUUUAAUCACAUGUCAAACCCUAAAAAAAAAAAAAAAUUCACUGUGACCGGUGAUGUGCCAUGCCGCAUUGCGUUUGGGCCUGUAUUACUCAUCUUCGAACCAACCACUUUGGUGGGGAGAUUAAUAUUAUGAUAAAAGGUUCCUUUGGGUGAAUUAAAGCUCAAAGCCUAAAAUUGAAAUUUAAGAUUAAUUCCCAUCCGAGCCAGUGAGCCAGUGUUCAAGAGAACAGAGUAGAUAAGUAUUGUAAAGAAGUUACCACAGUUCUCAUUACUGGAUAACAACGUAAUUCUUUAUCUUCAAAAGGUAAAUGAAUAAACUAACAGAAUGUACCAGAAAAAAAUAAGAAAUAAUAAGUAAGAUUGCUAUUGCAAUAUUAAUGUUGAGAAGUAAAAAAUCAGGAGUUUCCCUAUCACAAAUCAUAACCAAUUAGAAAAUAUAACUGGGAGUUCCAUUGUGGCUCAGUGGAUUAUGAACCCAACUAGUAUCCAUGAAGAUAUGGGUUCAAUCCCUGGCCUCAGUUAAUUGGUUAUAGGAUCUGGCAUUGCUGUGCCUGUAGCUGUGGCUGGCAGCUGCACCUCCAAUUUGACUCCUAGCCUGGGAACGUCCAUAUGCCAUGGGUGUGGCCCUAAAAAGCAAAAAAAAAAAAAAAAAAAAAAAGAAGAAGAAAAUAUUUCAUAUAUAAAAAGUAUAAAAUGUAUUGGAAUACAUUUAUUAAGAAACAAAGUAUUUAUAUGAAAACAUAUGAACUUUGAGAGAUUUAAGAUAUUUCUAGCUAGGAAAACUCAAUUUUAAUAAGUUGAUUUAAUAAAGAUGUCUGUCCUCUUUAAAAUACUCUGUUUUGGGGAAUUCCUGUUGAGGUGCAGUGGAAAAGAAUCUCACUAGGAACCAUGAGGCUGUGGGUUUAAUCCCUGCCCUCACUCAGUGGGCUAAGGAUCUGGCAUUGCCUGAGCUAUGGUGUAGGUCACAGACAUGGCUCAGACCCCGCAUUGCUGUGGCGUAGACCAGCAGCUAUAGCUCCAAUUCAACCCCUGCUUGGGAACCUCCAUAUGCUGCGGGUGUGGCCCUAAAAAAGCCAAAAAAAGUGCAUCUGGGGAUUUUCCAGUGUGGCUCAGCAGUGAGGAACCCAAAUAGUAUCUAUGAGGAUGAGGGUUCAAUCCCUGGCCUUGCUCAGUGGGUUAAGGAUCUGGCAAUGCUGUGAGCUGUGGUGAAGGUUGAAGACAUAGCUUGGAUCUUGUGUUGCUGUGACUGCGGUGUAGGCCAGCAGCAGCAGCUCCAAUUUGACUCCUAGCCUGGGAACCUCCAGUUGCCGCAUGUGUGGCCUGAAAAAGAAAAAAAAAAAAAAAACAGUGCAUCUGAUAAUGCAUAACACAAUAUACUAGCCAGGGAAUUAAAAAUGACAGAACAAACACUGUAAACCAAGUAUAAU
This 2478-nucleotide long non-coding RNA is filed under the name Sus scrofa (pig). RNAcentral describes it as "lncRNA (ENSSSCG00000060262.1)". Lineage: Eukaryota; Metazoa; Chordata; Mammalia; Artiodactyla; Suidae. The record is from RNAcentral.